RNAcentral lists this ribosomal RNA (253 nucleotides) under uncultured bacterium. RNAcentral describes it as "partial 16S ribosomal RNA". It matches the Rfam family "Bacterial small subunit ribosomal RNA", at positions 524 to 776 of the family's 1533-position model. The record is from RNAcentral.
UACGUAGGUGGCAAGCGUUGUUCGGAAUUAUUGGGCGUAAAGGGCGCGUAGGCGGUUUGUUAAGUCGGCUGUGAAAGCCCGGGGCUCAACCCCGGAGGGUCAGCCGAUACUGGCAGACUAGAGUACGGAAGAGGUAGCUGGAAUUCUCGGUGUAGCGGUGAAAUGCGUAGAGAUCGGGAGGAAGGCCGGUGGCGAAGGCGGCGCUCUGGAACGUACCUGACGCUGAGACACGAAAGCGUGGGGAGCAAACAGG